GUUGACCUCGGAUCAGGUAGGGAUACCCGCUGAACUUAAGCAUAUCAAUAAGCGGAGAGAA
RNAcentral lists this ribosomal RNA (61 nucleotides) under Cladosporium cladosporioides. RNAcentral describes it as "partial 28S ribosomal RNA". It matches the Rfam family "Eukaryotic large subunit ribosomal RNA", at positions 1 to 59 of the family's 3401-position model. The record is from RNAcentral. Lineage: Eukaryota; Fungi; Ascomycota; Dothideomycetes; Cladosporiales; Cladosporiaceae.